CCCGGGGGUUCUUUGUUGUCUAGACCGGUGAGUGAUCUGCGCACCACAUCCGCACCAUAAGGGCGCGGCUA
RNAcentral lists this transfer RNA (71 nucleotides) under Streptomyces hygroscopicus subsp. jinggangensis TL01. Its description in RNAcentral is "tRNA-Gly". The record is from RNAcentral. Lineage: Bacteria; Bacillati; Actinomycetota; Actinomycetes; Kitasatosporales; Streptomycetaceae.